AUGUUGUUCAGUGUAUUCAUGUUUGCAUCUGUUUAUCAUGAGUGUCAUGGAGAAGACAGUGCUGAUCAGCUAGAUAAACACAUCGCUGAAUUUGAAGGAAGAUCAGUAACAUUACAAUGCAAAUAUAAAACAGCUUCAUCACAACCAGAACUUUUCUGGUACAUCCAGAGAGCAAAUGACUUUCCUAAAUACAUGCUGAGGAGAAACAAAUUUGGAGCAAAAGAUAAUGAUGCUCAGUUUCAGGAGAGAUUUCAUUCUGAAGUGUCCUCAGAUUCAGUUCCACUGAUGAUCAAGAAUCUGCGUGUGUCUGACUCUGCUGUGUACUACUGUGCUCUGCCGCCCACAGUGACUGAAACACACUCAACACUCACAUAA
Sinocyclocheilus grahami is the source of this 375-nucleotide non-coding RNA. Lineage: Eukaryota; Metazoa; Chordata; Actinopteri; Cypriniformes; Cyprinidae. The record is from the annotation of a RefSeq genome assembly.